Molecule: ribosomal RNA, 497 nt
Filed under: uncultured bacterium
Lineage: Bacteria
Description: partial 16S ribosomal RNA
Rfam family: Bacterial small subunit ribosomal RNA
Source: RNAcentral
GAUGAACGCUGGCGGCGUGCCUAAUACAUGCAAGUCGAGCGAACAGACGAGGAGCUUGCUCCUCUGACGUUAGCGGCGGACGGGUGAGUAACACGUGGAUAACCUACCUAUAAGACUGGGAUAACUUCGGGAAACCGGAGCUAAUACCGGAUAAUAUAUUGAACCGCAUGGUUCAAUAGUGAAAGACGGUUUUGCUGUCACUUAUAGAUGGAUCCGCGCCGCAUUAGCUAGUUGGUAAGGUAACGGCUUACCAAGGCCACGAUGCGUAGCCGACCUGAGAGGGUGAUCGGCCACACUGGAACUGAGACACGGUCCAGACUCCUACGGGAGGCAGCAGUAGGGAAUCUUCCGCAAUGGGCGAAAGCCUGACGGAGCAACGCCGCGUGAGUGAUGAAGGUCUUCGGAUCGUAAAACUCUGUUAUUAGGGAAGGACAAAUGUGUAAGUAACUAUGCACGUCUUGACGGUACCUAAUCAGAAAGCCACGGCUAACUACGUG